GAAUGAACUUAAGAGUUUGAUCCUGGCUCAGAACGAACGCUGGCGGCAUGCCUAACACAUGCAAGUCGAACGGGAUCCAUUGCUUCGGUGAUGGUGAGAGUGGCGCACGGGUGAGUAACGCGUGGGAACCUGCCAAUGAGUACGGAAUAACGGUUGGAAACGGCCGCUAAUACCGUAUACGCCCUACGGGGGAAAGAUUUAUCGCUCAUUGAGGGUCCCGCGUCCGAUUAGCUAGUUGGUGAGGUAAAGGCUCACCAAGGCGACGAUCGGUAGCUGGUCUGAGAGGAUGAUCAGCCACACUGGGACUGAGACACGGCCCAGACUCCUACGGGAGGCAGCAGUGGGGA
This 347-nucleotide ribosomal RNA is filed under the name Candidatus Endolissoclinum sp. TMED26. RNAcentral describes it as "bacterial SSU rRNA". It matches the Rfam family "Bacterial small subunit ribosomal RNA", at positions 1 to 360 of the family's 1533-position model. Lineage: Bacteria; Pseudomonadati; Pseudomonadota; Alphaproteobacteria; Rhodospirillales; Rhodospirillaceae. RNAcentral also lists the same sequence under 1 other name. The record is from RNAcentral.